AAAUCGCAUUUAAAUUAAAUUAUUAAAAAAUUCAAAAACCAAAUCCAGAAAGUUUCAGUAAACUCUCGUAUAAAUAUCUUACUCCCUCCCUGACAAGACUUUUUCACCGUUAUUGCUAUCACAUUGUGAGCACAGUGAUUCAAUUAUUUUCUCUAUUCUUUUAUGUUUGUUUUUUUGGAUUGCGAAGAUAUUUUCCAAUUUUCAGAUUGCAUGAUGUAUUAUGAUUGAAUGAGGCCUGUUCUUUUGGUAUGGAACAAGCUAGGGAGGAAAUGGAUGCAAAUAGUGUAGCAAGGGCUGCAGAACUGAAGAGAAAAGGUCUUGAUGCUCCAUUGAUGAAAUCAGAGGGUCACUAUAUGUUAGGAUCACCAAUGAAGUACGUAUCUAGUGGUGGUGAUUGGCCCAAAACCUUACCCCAUGUCUACACCAAUAUGUUAGGGGGUAGUGGUUUAAAUAGAAGUAUAACAUCCUUUGAUGGAUCUGAACCGGUGUGUACUAGUCCUUCCUCUAUGAAGGAUCCUGGACUUACAGUCGAAGAACUUACUGUGAGAAACUAUAAGACCACAAAUUUGUCUUCAGUUAGUAGUUCAAAUAGUAGAGAGGGAAUGCGUCCUAGGCAGAGUCAGUGGCAUCAUCUAUACCAGCUCGCAAGUGGGUCAAGAAAUAAGAUGACACCAAAUGUCAGGGAGGAUUUGACUGGAAUGACUUCUGAAAUUUGGGAUUUAAAACCUUUGUUGAGUAAGCAAACCAAAGAAAUUUCUGCUCAGUUUACUGGUAGUGACAACAAGAUCAUGUCAAGCAAUAAACUGCCUUUUGGGCAUGCACAAUCAAAGAUAUUAUCUGCAUCUAGCUCUCAUGAGGCUUUUGUGAAAAAAACCUUAAAUAGCAAAGGGAUUGUUUGUAAAGGUGCAGAAGCUCAUACCGGAUUUGACAUUUCAUUCAUGGGCCAGAAUACUGAAAAACAGGCUCCUGUUGCAUUGUUGAACUCAAGUGCUAGCAUGGGGGUUGUUUGUAGAAAUAUGGAAGCUUGCAGUGAAUCUGGUGUUUCAGCCAUGAACCAGAAUAAUGAAAAACCAGCUUGUGUUGCAUUGUUGAAUUCAAAUACAAACCAUGACCAGCAUUCUUCGCAUAGUGCUGAUAAGGCCAAUCAUGAAUCUUUUGAUGAAGGAAUCAGCUUGAGAGAUAGGCUGAAACCAGGAGGUAGUACAUUAAAUAAAGUUGAGAGCAUGCAUUUGUUUAAGCAGAUUGUGGAGUUAGUGGAUUUUGCCCAUUCUCGUGGAGUUGCUUUACGUGAUUUACACCCAGCCUGUUUCACUUUGUUGCCAUCAAAUAGGAUUAAAUACACUGGAUCAUCAGCUCAGAGAGAAUUAGACACUGUUGUAUGUCAGAAUAUGAAUAAGAAGAGGUCAUUACAACAGGAUAUGGUACCUUCCAGUAGUUUGGGUGCAAAGCAGCCAAAGCUGAGGGACGAUGUGAACUCAUUAAAAAACCAAUCUCAGUUAACCCUUAAUCAUGGUUUGAGAAGUGGAAGUGUGAGUCAUACUGAUAUUCAUAUUACUGGUCAAGAUUCUGAUUGUGCUGAACACAUGGUUGGAAAUGUUUCCGGCUACCAAAGUACUUCUAUUGCAACACAGCAGCGGUUAAUUUCUUUAAAUGUCCAUUUGCAAGACAAGUGGUAUGCUAGCCCAGAGGAGCUCAUUGAUGGGAUUUGCACAUGUUCCUCAAAUAUCUACAGUCUUGGGGUUCUUUUAUUUGAGCUGCUAUGCUCUUUUGAAUCAUCAGAGAUGCUCUUCGCAGCAAUGAUGGAAUUGCGCCAACGUAUCCUUCCUCCAAAUUUUCUUUCAGAAAAUCCAAAGGAAGCUGGCUUUUGUCUUUGGUUACUUCACCCUGAGCCUUCAUCGCGUCCAACCACAAGGGAAAUCCUGCAUUCUGACUUAAUUUGUGGAGGAUCUCAAGAAUUGUAUUCAAGAGAUGAGUUUCCAUUAUCUGCUGAUGAUGAUGAUACUGAGUCGGAGUUAUUACUUUACUUUCUUACUUCAUUGAAAGAACAAAAGGAGAAGCAUGCCUCCAAGUUGGUGCAAGAUAUAGCAUGCCUAGAAGCAGAUCUUAAGGAGGUUGAGACAAGGAAUUUAUUCAGGACGUCCUCCACUGUUUCUUGUACACAUACUGACUUUCCCCAUGGAAGAGGAAAACAGGGCCUUUGUCCUGAAGAUCCUCUGAAUUCCAGUGUUCAUUAUAAAUCCAUCCCAGGCUCAAAUGUAAAUGAGGCAAUAUUGAUGAAAAAUAUCAGGCAGCUUGAGAGUGCAUAUUUCUCACUGAGAUCCAAAAUUGGGCUUUCGGAAACUAAUGUGGCAGAACGCCCAGAUAAGGAUUUGCUGAAGAACCGUGAUAAGUUGACUCAAGUGCAAAAUGAGAAUGAGGAGUUGAGCAUGAAUCAGAAGCCUAAGGAUCGGAUUGGAGCUUUUUUUGAAGGUUUAUGUAAGUUUGCUCGCUAUGGUAAGUUUGAAGUGCGUGGGACAUUGAGAAAUGGAGAUCUCCUCAACUCCGCAAAUGUAACUUGUUCUUUGAGUUUUGACCGUGACCAGGACUACAUUGCAGCAGCUGGUGUGUCAAAGAAAAUCAAGAUUUUUGAGUUUGAUGCACUAUUGAAUGACUCUGUUGAUAUUCAUUAUCCUGUGGUUGAGAUGUCAAACAAAUCUAAGCUUAGCUGUGUUUGCUGGAACAACUACAUCAAGAACUAUUUGGCUUCAACUGAUUAUGAUGGCGUGGUUCAGAUGUGGGAUGCAAGCACUGGUGAAGGAUUUUCCCAGUACACAGAACACCAAAAAAGGGCUUGGUCUGUAGACUUUUCUCCAGUUGACCCAACAAAGUUUGCCAGUGGAAGUGAUGAUUGUUCUGUGAAACUUUGGCAUAUUAAUGAGAGAAAUUCUACCAGCACUAUCUGGAACCCUGCUAAUGUGUGCUGUGUUCAGUUCUCUGCUUACUCUACUCAUCUGCUGGUUUUUGGAUCUGCCGAUUACAAGAUCUAUGGCUAUGAUCUUCGGCACACUAGAAUCCCUUGGUGCGUUUUAGCUGGCCACCAGAAAGCUGUCAGCUAUGUGAAAUUUUUAGAUUCAGAAACUCUUGUUUCUGCAUCCACGGACAACACUCUAAAGCUUUGGGAUCUCAACAAAACCAACUUAGAUGGGUUAUCCUCCAAUGCUUGCACCUUAACCUUUACUGGUCAUACUAAUGAGAAGAAUUUUGUGGGUUUAUCUGUUUUGGACGGAUACAUAGCAUGCGGUUCAGAAACUAAUGAGGUCUAUACUUAUCAUAGAUCUCUACCAAUGCCUGUCACUUCUCACAAAUUUGGAUCCAUUGAUCCUAUUACUGAGCAUGAGAUUGUUGAUGAUAACGGACAGUUUGUUUCAAGUGUCUGUUGGAGACAGAAUUCGAACAUGGUCGUUGCUGCAAACUCAAGUGGAAGGAUAAAAUUAUUGCAGCUGGUGUGAAAUAAAGCUCAAUCUGUCUUUAUUCAUCCUGAACCAGAUUUUAUUCCUUGCAAGUUUCUUCACCAAUUGGCUGUCACAAAGAUUUACCUUUAUGUCUUCUUAGGGCGGACAAUGACUGACUACAGGAAUUUGACAGAUUGAAGACAAAGAAGGGGAACUGAGUUCACAUGGAGCCCUCAGUUGCAUAUUGUGUCAGUUUGUGUGGGGUUUAUGGCUUUCAAAAAGCUAAUAAAAUCAAUUGAAUUUUCUGACUCAAGCAGUUGCACCCUGUGAAUCUCUGGGCUGAUGCUAAUCCUGCAAAAAUGGAUUGAUUCAUUUCAGUUCCCCAUGUUACAUUUGUUCAACUGAGAAAAAUCGGAACUGGCAAGAAUUUGGCUACAUGUGUGCAUGACUGAGAAUAACCAAGGCAGCAUGGUUGCCAAAAUCAUGUUUGUCACUGAGGCAUGGUCACAGCCCUUCUCGACAAGUUCACCACCAAACCAGGCUGAUACUAGAUGUAAGAUGGAUGAGCUGGUAGUAAUGAUAGCUUCUUAAGGAGUGCCUAUCCUCUACAAAUUACAUCAAUAAAUUGAUAAAAGAAGAACUAUCACAGUACUUUGCAAUCCAUUUUAAGGAGUGCAGCUACUUCUGUGAGUGCUCCUCAGAACUGGACAUCAGUGGGUCCAAGUUUCAGAAGAAACUGAAGGCUUCUUUUCAGUCAUGGGUGGGGGUGGAUCAUCAAUUAUGGUCAGAGGCUCAUCUCCACAGUGGAUCAGAACUUCUCCAUGAGGGUAUCGUCUUCAGAAGCCCUGCCUCAAUGUCACAGAAAUCAACAAGUGGCACUGGGGCAUCUGGCUGGCUGUGAUCAGGGUUCAUAGCUAGGAACCAUUUCGUAUACCUAAGAAUCCUACAGAUGGAUGAGAAGCUUGGCCGCUGAUUCGGGUCAGUAUGCCAACAUUUCUUUGUCAAGUUUGUUAUGUAUUUUGGUGAAUUGGAUGGGAAAAGGGGCCUCUCCCCUGCCCUAAUAUUUCGACUCAUCUUAUCUCCUUGAAGAUGGCUAUCCUCAAAAGGGACUUUCCCAGUCAAGAGUUCAAAACAAACCAUUCCAAAACUGUACACAUCUGCCUUCUCUGUGUACUUGAAAUUCCCAGUUUUACCCAGCUGUUCUUGAUCUGCUAGAACUUCUGGAGCAUGCCAUAUAAACGGGAGAUUCACAGCUUGAUUUGGAGAAGUUUUCUGGUUUAAGUUUUUAGUGGAAGAUAAACCGAACCCUGAAACUUUGGCAUGCAAAUACCCUUCUGUGGAGAUGCUCCUUGCUUUAACAAGAAUGUUAGAAGGAUUUAGAUCCCCAUGGUAGAUUUUCUUUGAGUGGAGAUACUCCAUUCCUCUUGCAACUUGAAGCAUAAGAUCAACUGCAACAGGAAGAGAAAAUGGAAGUCUCCUCCUUGGUCCACAUAUCUCCUUGAGAUGGCUGCAGAGAUCUUUAUACAUUAGUUCCAUAACCAAAAAACACUCUCUCUUUUCCUCAUCAAUGAACCCACAAAGUAAGCGCAUUAUAUUCGGGUGGGAGAGGGACAAGAGUUGGGAUAUUUCAGGGACAAGAGGCUCAAUCUCCCCGUAGAAGUGUCUUAAAGCAAAGCUUUCACCCAACCACAUGAUCUCCUUGUACUGGCUCCCGCUCCCUAGCCGCCGCCUCACCUGGUAGUCCUUAGAGCCCAGUAGGAUUGAACUCGGUAGGAGCUUCCCAUUCAAAGGCUGUGACACAUCCAAGUUCUUGAAAAGGAGAUCCCUGAGUCGUUGUUCAUACUUUGUUAAGCUCACUGAACCUGAAGGUCUCUUCCCUUGGAUUUUGUUGAGGAGAAUCCACCUAUCUUCUCUCCAAACUUCAUCUACCCGGCUGCAGAAGUCCUUAGAGAUCAAAUACUGCUUCCCGAAUCUCCAUUGAAAGAGUUUCGGGUCUUGCCAUUCUUUCUGAUACUUCGUGGAGAACAAUACCCUCUUCUUCUGUAUCUCAUCCUGGUCCCAACCCGAGUUUUCUCCUGCAAUUUCAAUGGCUUCAAUGACCACUGGAAAGCAGCAGAGCAAGUUAUGGAUGUGAAACUCAACGCUGUCCGUGUUCUGAUAGAAUAUAAUGGCUUUAGCCCACCAUUCUUUCGUGUCCAAACACUGUCUUACGUAGUGUUCUCCUUCUUUGAAUACCCCGUGCAACUCCCUCAGGGGCUGUUCAAGAAUUUUCCAUUUUGUAUGCUUCUCGUCUAAUCGAAGAUUCUGCUUCAUCUCUUCUGCUACUGUGUGAUAAGCCAAGUCGAGAACAUCCAGCAACAAACAGCAUUGCCUCUGGUUGAUCUGAAUAUCUUCCCGGAACACCAUAAAUGCCUUCAAACUCCCCAAAACCUCUCCCAUUUGCCUGAAUUGCUCCAUCGCUGAACCUGAAAAUUUACCUCCAAAUGUCAUGAAAGAUUAGCAGACAUUAGAAACAAACAUAGAUGCGGGGAUGAAGAUGAAGAUGAAAAAGUUACCAACCGAGGAAUGGUGGGAAAAAUGGUAACCGGCGAAAAAAGGAGGCCUGAGAAACUGAGCUUUAAUGAGAGUUUGGAUUAUAAAAAAUCAGCAAGUGGGUGCCCGAGAAAAUGUGAAUUCCUAUCAAAUUCUCACGAACCCAGCAGGAAUUCAGCAGAAUCGAAGCUACCCGCCUCUAUUUCCUCAGCCAAAUUCCCGAACAAACAGAAAGAGACCGGAGUUUGAUAACCAGGAAUCACUCAAAAAGGUUGAUUGCCAACAAAAGUUUGGAAACAACUGCAAGCAAAUCACAAGAAACUGAUUCCUGGGAAAUUCUAGCAUCACCGGGAGACCGAUGGAAGCUAGAGUUUUCCCAGGAAAUUUUUCAUAGACUGUUUGGGAAUUGUUGAGAAGUUUUUGAAAAAGGAAAUGCAAACCAAACAUUUGUUAUCUUUGUUCGUAUUGGUGGCUAUGGCCGUUGAUAAUCCGCUUUCUUUGCAGUUUCAAUGUAUAAGAUUUCCCGCGAGUUUAGAUGUUGUUGUUCUGAGAUUGGUGAUUCAUAGUCAGACAUGCAUGUUAACCGUUUUAACUGA
Vitis vinifera (wine grape) is the source of this 6559-nucleotide RNA transcript. It is a transcript of the gene named protein SUPPRESSOR OF PHYA-105 1, with no coding region annotated. The record is from RefSeq and is a predicted model, not a curated record. The transcript has 10 exons. Lineage: Eukaryota; Viridiplantae; Streptophyta; Magnoliopsida; Vitales; Vitaceae.